Molecule: long non-coding RNA, 326 nt
Filed under: Salvia miltiorrhiza (redroot sage)
Lineage: Eukaryota; Viridiplantae; Streptophyta; Magnoliopsida; Lamiales; Lamiaceae
Description: long non-coding RNA (SMIL_LNC009608)
Source: RNAcentral
UCAUCACUCAGCCACUCACUCCCUUACUCUUCUCCCUCUCUCGGCCUCCUGCCGCCGUCGCCGNACUCUUCUCCCUCUCUCGGCCUCCUGCCGCCGUCGCCGGAGGCCGGCGGCUCUGCCGUCCUCCCUCUCCCCCCUUUCGACCUCUCUCUCCCUCUCUUCUCUUAUCUCUCGCCCCCUUCGAUCUCUCUCCCUCUUCCUUCAUCUCUCGCCGUCCUCAACCGCAGUUGUCUCCCUUCUCCGGCAACGACCGUCGCCAGCCGCCACCUCCUCCUGCCCGGCAUAACCCUCACCUUCUCCCUCUCGCCUACAGCUUCCACGGCAGC